This 588-nucleotide long non-coding RNA is filed under the name Mustela putorius furo (domestic ferret). RNAcentral describes it as "lncRNA (ENSMPUG00000029854.1)". The record is from RNAcentral. Lineage: Eukaryota; Metazoa; Chordata; Mammalia; Carnivora; Mustelidae.
GCAAUCGAAGUGAUAUUACAUCUCUCAAGAAAUAAAAGCCAAGGAAAAAGUAUUGACUGCAAGAUGGAGAGAACAGUAAAAUUUGAAACAUGCUAAUUUCCUGCCAAAUUUCAGGAAUCCGUUUCUGAUUUUUAACGGGCAUGACAAAACUGAAAUUGGUGAGAUCAAAGUCUCAUAGGAGUUUAGAAGCGGACAGAAAUUCGUACUCCUCUUAUCAAGUGAUGCUGUUGGGAAGAGUGGCUUCCCUACAUUUUUGAGGUACCGCUGCUCUGGGAGAACUCAGGUGGCUUCACAGUGCUGACCUUGGAAUUCAUGGCAGACACUGUUCUCUGUAAAGAAGAGUCUUAUGUCUUGGAAGCCAGGAUUCCACAGAUGUCCAAAAGCUUUCUCACCUUUUUUUCCCUGGCACUGGGCACACAGGAAUCGGCUUGCUAGAAUUUAGAGGCUGAGAAGUCCCAAGACCUGCAGGGUCUCUUGUUUUCUACAUCAACUUUACACAUAAGGGACAGCUUUAAAAGAAAAGCAAAUUCAAGAUGGAUUUAUUCAAGAAGAGGCAGGUAGGUGCCCAAGUCAUUUACAGACUGCUGG